UCAUUUUAGUUUUUGGUAUCUGUAGCUUGCAACGACGAAUCAAUUCUCAUGAGCUUGACAAUGAGGCACUUGCUUUUAAGCCCGUUUUGGGUCCCAUGCUUGCGAGGAUAUACAACAAUCCUUAAAAAAAGGAAGAAAAUCAGUUUCGACUGCAGAAAAUUUUACAGUUUUGGGGCUCCAAGGAAGUCUAUGAUCAGGAUACUAUUCGUGCACUUGAAAAUGAGAUGAUGAGUGGACUACCUACAAAUUUUGCUGGUCCUUGGAGGGAACUACUGGCUGCAGAUCCUUCUGCUGGUGCAGGUAGUUGCUGCUAAUUUAGCUGUAAUAAAGAGUACCAUUAAAAGAAUGUAUCGCAAUUUUUACUUCUGUAUCCUUUUUUUUCAAGGAUUGUCACACCGAGUAGCAAACCAGAGUGUUUUACAGUGGAUGAGCAGGUGCCUCCUUUACCUAAUUUAGCCAAUCAAGAUAAAGUUGUUCCUCCAGUACCAUCUGCAGAUCGAUUUCAUAUUCCAGGGUCGAUGCCUGUGCUGUCCUCUGUUCCACAUGGAAAUCUACAAGUUGCAGUUCAUCCCAUCCCAGCAUCAACUGCCAAUGGAGGUGGAAAAUUGCCUCCAUACCCCUUGUUUCCUCCUGGUCUUAGUCCUGGUAUGGUCAGGAAGAUGUAGAUUGGUAGUGGGGUGUCUUACUCUCCGAUAUGCCCUUUGGAUAUCCCCACCAUUAUACCACCCUCCACCGUAUCAGAGUCUGAGAUUCUUGAGAGUGUGUCCAAAUUUUUGAGGGAGAUCGGAGAGGUUAAUCCAUCAGAAGGUCCUGUUAAACCAUCUGAUUCAGCCAAUGAUUAUGAUGACUAUGAGAGAGAACUUGCUGUUCGCAAUUGAGGGGCUUGCAUCCAUCCACCUUCAAACCUCCAAGUUGACCCUGAAAUUGGGAAUUACUCUGAUGGAGGUGUGGAGCAGAAGCCUGGAUUGAAUAGCUCAGGACGGUUAGGACUUGGAGCCACAGAUAAUCCAGAUGAGUCAAGUCAAUACGAUGAUGUCUACACUUC
RNAcentral lists this long non-coding RNA (1045 nucleotides) under Solanum tuberosum (potato). RNAcentral describes it as "long non-coding RNA (STUB_LNC010603)". Lineage: Eukaryota; Viridiplantae; Streptophyta; Magnoliopsida; Solanales; Solanaceae. The record is from RNAcentral.